GAAGCCAUAGUGGGUGAUAGACCCGUACCGGUAGAAAGCACAUUGGUCCUCGAGUAAGGCGGGACACGUGAAAUCCUGUCUGAACAUGGGGGGACCACCCUCCAAGCCUAAGUACUCGCAUGCGACCGAUAGCGAACAAGUACCGUGAGGGAAAGGUGAAAAGCACCCCGACGAGGGGAGUGAAAGAGCACCUGAAACCGAAUGCUUACAAACAGUAGGAGGGCGCAAGCCUGACUACGUACCUUUUGUAUUAUGGGUCAGCGACUUAUGAUUGACGUGCAAGCUUAAGCCGAUAGGCGGAGGCGUAGCGAAAGCGAGUCUGAACAGGGCGAUUUAGUACGUUGAUAUAGACCCGAAACCAGUCGAUCUAUCCAUGGCCAGGCUGAAGGUGCAGUAACAUGCACUGGAGGGCCGAACAGGUAACCGUGGAAAAGGUUUCUGAUGAGUUGUGGCUAGGGGUGAAAGGCUAAUCAAACUCGGAGAUAGCUGGUUCUCUCCGAAAUAUAUUUUGGUAUAGCCUCCUGCGUUCAGUCGUGGUUGUAAAGCACUGUUUGGCCUAGGGGCCCUACCAGGUUACCGAAGUCAGAUAAACUCUGAAUGCCACGACUCCAGAGCAGGGGAGUCAGACUGCGGGGGAUAAGCUUCGUAGUCGAGAGGGAAACAGCCCAGACCACCAGCUAAGGGCCCCAAGCGCCGGCUAAGUGGAAAACGUUGUGCGAGUGCACAGACAACCAGGAUGUUGGCUUAGAGGCAGCCAUUCGUCUAAGGAGUGCGUAAUAGCUCACUGGUCAAGUGCUCGUGCGCGGAUAAUGUAACGGGGCUCAAGCCGGCCCCCGAAGCUGUGGACUUCGCCUUCGGGCGGAGUGGUAGGAGAGCGUUCUUCGUGCAGUGAAGCGGCAGCGGCAAGCUCCCGUGGAGCGCGGAGAAGUGAGAAUGCAGGCAUAAGUAACGAAAGAGGAGUGAGAAACUCCUCCACCGGAUGCCCAAGGUUUCCUGAGUAAAGCUAAUCUGCUCAGGGUUAGUCGGGACCUAAGCCGAGGCCGACAGGCGUAGGCGAUGGACAACAGGUUGAUAUUCCUGUACCACGUACCGUUCGCUAUCACCGAUGGCGGGACGGGGUAGGCUAGGGAAACCCAGGCGAUGGUCGACCUGGGGUAACCGCGUAGGGCGGGCGAUAGGAAAAUCCGUCGCCCACGAGCCUGAGACGGGAUGCCGAGCCCGCAUGGGCGAAGUUCCUGAAGCCAUGCCUCCUAGAAAAGCGUCUAGGGAGAACGGGCGUGCCCGUACCAAAACCGACACAGGUGGGCAGGUAGAGAAUACCAAGGCGAUCGGAAGAACCCUCGUUAAGGAACUCGGCAAAAUGGCCCCGUAACUUCGGGAGAAGGGGCGCCCCGGUAGAGUGAGACUCCUUCGCGGAGUCGAGCUCGAGGGGGCCGCAGUGAAACGGCCCAAGCGACUGUUUACCAAAAACACAGGUCUCUGCUAAGUCGUAAGACGACGUAUAGGGGCUGACGCCUGCCCGGUGCCGGAAGGUUACGCGGAGUUGUUAGCGGGUUCGCCCGCGAAGCAGCGAAGCUAAGCCCCGGUAAACGGCGGCCGUAACUAUCAGCUGACCGAGGUAGUUGUAAAACUCGGCUAUAUGCUGGAACACCUGUUCCUAAAAGGAUGCAGUAUCCCGCACUACUCGUGCCACUAGAUCGGUGCUUCGCGCCGACCUCCUGGCUACAGUGACAAUGUGUCGGGUGCAGGUAAUCAGCAGGAAAGGCUCUCCAUCGCGGAGAUCCCUCCUGAGCUUGGAAGCUUUCUGGCUGGUUUCGCCCUGGGCGAGGCCAGCUUCAUGAUCGUCUGCCGUCGCCGUGAGGACUACGGCAGGCGGUGGAAGCUCUCCGCCGCCUUCAACGUCUCGCAGAAGGAUCGGGCGCCGCUCGAUCUGUUCCGGGAGACGCUGGGCUGCGGGAGCAUGAGGAUGGCCGGCAAUGGCGGCUGGUACUGGGAGGUCAACGACCUGUCCAGUCUGACCGACCGCAUCGUGCCGUUCUUCGAUCGCUUCCAGCUCGUUGGGACGAAAGCCAAGGAUUUCGGGUGCUUCAGGAGCGCGGUUGCGCUCCUGGCGCAGCGAAGGCUUUCAGACGCCGACUACGUUGCCGUCCUCUCCCUAAGGGAGCAGAUGAACGGUGGCGGCAAGCGGCGCUACACGAUGGAGAGAAUCCUCAGAGACUAUACGCCGAGCUCGGUUCAAUCCUGAACUGAGAUGAGAUAGUCCGCUCUCAUGGGCGACCAUGAGAGGCGGCCAGAAAUGGUCGUCCGCCUCAAGCGCGCUGUUUCUGCUUGAGGUAUACAAGUAACACUAGGAACGGUCCUA
RNAcentral lists this ribosomal RNA (2362 nucleotides) under sediment metagenome. Its description in RNAcentral is "bacterial LSU rRNA". The stretch from base 1 to 1774 matches the Rfam family "Bacterial large subunit ribosomal RNA", at positions 351 to 2925 of the family's 2925-position model. The record is from RNAcentral.